UGCUUCGACAAGCUCAGGCCACUGAGAUUGAAGAACUGAAGCAAAAGGUUGCUAUGCUGACAGAGUCAAAAGAACAACUAGAAACCCGGAACCAAAAAUUGGCAGAUGAGAGUUCAUAUGCGAAAGGGCUAGCCUCAGCUGCUGCUGCUGAGCUCAAGGCAUUGUCAGAAGAAGUUGCCAAGCUCAUGAAUCAAAAUGAGAGACUAGCUGCUGAUCUGGCAGCACAAAAGAACUCGCCC
Molecule: unclassified non-coding RNA, 239 nt
Filed under: Hevea brasiliensis (rubber tree)
Lineage: Eukaryota; Viridiplantae; Streptophyta; Magnoliopsida; Malpighiales; Euphorbiaceae
Source: RNAcentral